RNAcentral lists this transfer RNA (87 nucleotides) under Gammaproteobacteria bacterium. RNAcentral's name for it is "tRNA-Ser". It matches the Rfam family "tRNA". From Rfam's summary of the family: Transfer RNA (tRNA) molecules are approximately 80 nucleotides in length. Their secondary structure includes four short double-helical elements and three loops (D, anti-codon, and T loops). Lineage: Bacteria; Pseudomonadati; Pseudomonadota; Gammaproteobacteria. The record is from RNAcentral.
GGAGAGAUGUCAGAGUGGUCUAUCGUGCUACCUUGGAAAGGUAGUGUUGAGUCAAAUCAACCGGGAGUUCGAAUCUCCCUCUCUCCA